AUGGUAUGUGGGAGACAAUCUGUAAAUGGCAGUUGUUACUAUGACUUCAUAGUUGAUUCUAGUCAAAAUUCCAAGACUAUAUGGACCCUGAUUUCUCAUUUGUUGAAUGACCUAAGAGGUGUUGCUUUCUUUACAGACAUCAGAAUCCAGGGGGACACUGGGGAUUGAAGAAAGAAUGGAUUCAGUGGCAUUUGGUGGCAUGCACAAUCCAAACUGCUGUGUGUUUAGGGGUAAAUGGGUAUCAAGGUAAGGAAGACAUCAAAAUGUGUGUAUCAGGAUGUUUUCAGCUAUAAACAAUAGAGAACCUUACGUAAAGUGCCUUUAAAAAUUAGGGAUACUUAUUAAUUCCUAUAACAAAAGUCCUAAAAAAGGGGCCAUUUCUGGAUUGGUUAAUUCUAUGGCUCCAUAUUAUUAUUGUCGACCCAGAUUUUGCCUGCCUUUUGGCUUUGCUACCCUUAGUCAUAUCACUCAAUCCAACUGACAUCCACGUUACAAGAUGGACACCACUUUCAGAAAACACAUCCAUAUACACCAAUAGUCAGAAUCAGAAAUCCAGUGUCUCUUCCUCUUCUCUUCCUUCCAGUGUGUCUUUCUAGGAGCUAAGGUAUUUUUUUCCAUAAGUUACUUCUCCCUAUAUCUCAUUGGUCAGAAUUAUGGCAUAUGCCCAUGGCUAAACCAAGACUGGCAAGGGCAGUAAGAUCCCCCUGACAUGCUUGGACCAAUCUUGACUCCUAGCUUGGGCCUGCCCCCCGCCCCUGGCCAUCUGGGGGCAGAUACCUGGAAAUCAGCUACUGUGUUCAGGGAAGGGGAACAUGGCUACUGUGUAGAUGAGUCCUCUUAAGGUCCUCAGAGGACUUUCAGGAGGCAGUGCCAUAUUCCAAGGGAAUGAUUUUCAUAGCACUUGCUGAACUUGGGGAAUAGCUAUUUUGAAGUCGGAAUACGUUUUGUCUCCUUCAGCUCAUACCAUUUGUUAUGGUAGGAUGGCCUCCCCCACCUUUUCAUCAGGCUAAUUCUGGGAGAACUUAGCAUAAGCAAGUAGCCCAUUUUAUUUUAUUUAAAAAUUGGCUUUUAAAGUCCAUACUCACAUGUGUUUUAUCCCCUUGAAUUGUCUGUGGAUGGUGGUGGUCUGAUCGAAAUGUUCUUCCUAGUGAUUCAGUCUUGGUUGGUGGGGGGGUGGGGAUUGGGGAGAAAGAUAUGUCUACCAUGGGGAAGGUCAAAUCCAGCCAAGUCAGAUGUAUUUGUUCCUUUCCAAACUCACAAAGGGAAAUGAAAAGCUAGGGACAAUUAUUUCAGGAGAACCAGUCUCUGAAUCCUAGUUCACAAGGAAGAGAAAUCCCUUAUUUAUUUAUUUUUAAACACUGAAUUGGUCCCAGGUGUUUUCCACAUUUUUGAAACUCACUAAAUAAUUUCUCUGCUGCUGACAGAGCUACCCUGUCAUUUUAGUUUAGAGGCUUCCUUACCUUCCUUAGAUUUGGAACUCAUCUCCAGUAGCAACGAUUUUUUCUUUGCUCUCUGAUUGGGGGUGUUUGUUUUAAAAUUCACACCUAUGAAUCCCAGAUCACCUGCACCCUGAACCCCAGGUUGCCUGUACUCUUAAUCCCAGGUCAGCUGUACCCUGAACCCCAGAUUAUCUGUAUUUUGCAUCUCAGGUCACCUGUAUUCUGGGACCACUUCCUGCCUCAACAGGAGGUUUAAAAGAUUCUCUAGGCUCAAGCCUUAAUGUAGCCCUUGGCCUUUGACCAUGUUGUUCCUCUGCCUAGAGUGUCUUUCCCCUUAUUUGGAGGUGCUCUCCUAUUCAUCCUUUAAGGCCAAAUGCAUUUGCUUUUUGCACACUCUGCCAAGGCACCUGGCCCAGAGGGUGAGUGGCGCCUGAAAUCUGGCCCAUGUUCCUCUCACCAAGAGUUGACUCUGUGUCAACCCAUAAGUAGGAGCCUCUUUUCUAAUUUGUCUCCCUUUCCCAAAUUUGUUCAGACCAGCUGAGGCCCUAUAGAUUGACCUCCAACAUUGUCCCCCUUCACUGAGCCUUCCCUGACUGUCAGGCAGAGGAUACUUCUCUUCUUGCUCAUUCCUGGAUUGGAGUCUUUAGGAAGUUGAAUGAUUUGGCCUGUACUCCUGUGUCUGUCUUAUUCAUCGUGACAUUUCCAGCUCCUAAAAUGUGGCCUGGACAGUAAGAGUUUGUUCCAUAUUUGAAACCUUUGUGUGCGUAUCUCUGAUUGCUGAUGCUGGGACUCAGAUGCCUGACUCCCUAAAAUCCUGUCCGGUCAUAUCUUGGCCUGACUGUGACCCCCCAUCUCCUCCUCUACUCUGGUAUAUAUGCUUCACUUCUGUGGAGACUCUGUUCUUGAGCUGCCAUUAACCUGAGGACUUGAGUUCAUACAGACAAGCCCCCUUUGGCUGCAGACACUCAGGGUAUAGGAUGAACAUGACCUGGGACAUCAUAAUGCAGAUACAUGAUACAGGAAGCCUUCCCUGACUUCCUUCUUUGUUUUUCCAUGAAGCCAGUCUGGAUCAGAUAUUUUUUUUUCUGGGCUCCAUAGCACCUGGUGCUUAUCUAUUAUAGUGUUUUAUAACCAUAUAUGUAAUAGGCACAGACAAAAUUCAGAUAGUAACUGAUACAUAACAUUGUAUUAGUUUAGGUGUACAGCAUAAUGAUUGGAUAUUUGUAUACAUUGUGAAAUGAUCACCACAAUAAAUGUAGUUAACAUCUAUCA
RNAcentral lists this long non-coding RNA (2711 nucleotides) under Felis catus (domestic cat). RNAcentral's name for it is "lncRNA (ENSFCAG00000051980.1)". Lineage: Eukaryota; Metazoa; Chordata; Mammalia; Carnivora; Felidae. The record is from RNAcentral.